Molecule: small RNA, 722 nt
Filed under: Pongo abelii (Sumatran orangutan)
Lineage: Eukaryota; Metazoa; Chordata; Mammalia; Primates; Hominidae
Description: processed transcript
Source: RNAcentral
AAAUCGAGUUGGCCAGAUGAGGGAGAGGCCAUUAAGAGGAAUCAAAGAUCAACUCCCACUGAGGACAAAUGGACCUGUAAUUCCGGGUGUGACGAGAGAACGAGAUUUACCUUCCUGAAUUAAAAAACAGGUCAUUAAGCUUGGGCCCUGACUCUUCUUUGUGAGAAGGUGCAGAGAUGGAAACCUUACAAUCCAAGACUAAAACGAGGGUCCUUCCCUCAUGGCUGACAGCCCAGGUGGCUACAAAGAAUGUGGCACCAAUGAAGGCCCCCAAGAGGAUGAGAAUGGCAGCAGUGCCAGUGGCAGCAGCAAGGUGCGACAACCCUGGUCAGAAGACUGUUGCGAAUUGACUCCCUGCGACAAGGACUGUGUACUGCAUGAAUGAGGCCGAGAUAGUCGAUGUUGCUCUGGGAAUCCUGAUUGAGAGCCGCAAACAGGAAAAGGCCUGCGAGCAGCUGGCCCUGGUGGGGGCUGAUAACCCAGAGCACUCCCCUCCCUGCUCUGUGUCGCCUCACACAAGUUCUGGGAGCAGCAGUGAGGAAGAGGACAGUGGGAAAGAGGCACUGGCUCCAGGCCUCAGCCCUUCCCAGAGGCCGGGGGGUAUCAACUCUGCCUGCAGCAGGAGCCCUGAGGAGGAGGAGGAAGAGGAUGUGUUGAAAUACGUCCGGGAGAUCUUUUUCAGCUAGGGCAUAAACUGUGCACUGAACUGUCUGCCGAGAGCA